This 498-nucleotide ribosomal RNA is filed under the name uncultured bacterium. RNAcentral describes it as "partial 16S ribosomal RNA". It matches the Rfam family "Bacterial small subunit ribosomal RNA", at positions 30 to 523 of the family's 1533-position model. The record is from RNAcentral.
AUUGAACGCUGGCGGCAUGCUUUACACAUGCAAGUCGAACGGUAACAGGCCGCAAGGUGCUGACGAGUGGCGAACGGGUGAGUAAUGCAUCGGAACGUGCCCAGUCGUGGGGGAUAACGCAGCGAAAGCUGUGCUAAUACCGCAUACGAUCUAUGGAUGAAAGCGGGGGACCGUAAGGCCUCGCGCGUUUGGAGCGGCCGAUGUCAGAUUAGGUAGUUGGUGGGGUAAAGGCUCACCAAGCCAACGAUCUGUAGCUGGUCUGAGAGGACGACCAGCCAAACUGGGACUGAGACACGGCCCAGACUCCUACGGGAGGCAGCAGUGGGGAAUUUUGGACAAUGGGCGCAAGCCUGAUCCAGCAAUGCCGCGUGCAGGAAGAAGGCCUUCGGGUUGUAAACUGCUUUUGUACGGAACGAAAAGGUUUGGGUUAAUACCCUGGGCCGAUGACGGUACCGUAAGAAUAAGCACCGGCUAACUACGUGCCAGCCGCCGCAGUAA